GAUGAACGCUGGCGGCGUGCCUAAUACAUGCAAGUCGAGCGAACAGACGAGGAGCUUGCUCCUCUGACGUUAGCGGCGGACGGGUGAGUAACACGUGGAUAACCUACCUAUAAGACUGGGAUAACUUCGGGAAACCGGAGCUAAUACCGGGUAAUAUAUUGAACCGCAUGGUUCAAUAGUGAAAGACGGUUUUGCUGUCACUUAUAGAUGGAUCCGCGCCGCAUUAGCUAGUUGGUAAGGUAACGGCUUACCAAGGCAACGAUGCGUAGCCGACCUGAGAGGGUGAUCGGCCACACGGGAACAGAGACACGGUCCAGACUCCUACGGGAGGCAGCAGUAGGGAAUCUUCCGCAAUGGGCGAAAGCCUGACGGAGCAACGCCGCGUGAGUGAUGAAGGUCUUCGGAUCGUAAAACUCUGUUAUUAGGGAAGAACAAAUGUGUAAGUAACUAUGCACGUCUUGACGGUACCUAAUCAGAAAGCCACGGCUAACUACGUG
Molecule: ribosomal RNA, 497 nt
Filed under: uncultured bacterium
Lineage: Bacteria
Description: partial 16S ribosomal RNA
Rfam family: Bacterial small subunit ribosomal RNA
Source: RNAcentral